AACGAACGCUGGCGGCAUGCCUAACACAUGCAAGUCGAACGAGACCUUCGGGUCUAGUGGCGCACGGGUGCGUAACGCGUGGGAACCUGCCCUUAGGUUCGGAAUAACUCCCCGAAAGGGGUGCUAAUACCGGAUAAUGUCUUCGGACCAAAGAUUUAUCGCCUUUGGAUGGGCCCGCGUUGGAUUAGCUAGUUGGUAGGGUAAAAGCCGACCAAGGCGACGAUCCAUAGCUGGUCUGAGAGGAUGGUCAGCAACCCUGGGACUGAGACACGGCGCAGACUCCUACAGGAGGCAGCAGUGGGGAAUAUUGGACAACGGGCGAAAGCGUGAUACAGCAAUGCCGCGUGAGUGAUGAAGGCCUUAGGGUGGUAAAGCUCUUUUACCCGGGAAGAUAAUGACAGUACCGGGAGAAUAAGCACCGGCUAACUCCGUG
This 433-nucleotide ribosomal RNA is filed under the name uncultured bacterium. Its description in RNAcentral is "partial 16S ribosomal RNA". It matches the Rfam family "Bacterial small subunit ribosomal RNA", at positions 29 to 507 of the family's 1533-position model. The record is from RNAcentral.